RNAcentral lists this long non-coding RNA (368 nucleotides) under Elaeis guineensis (African oil palm). Its description in RNAcentral is "long non-coding RNA (EGUI_LNC038090)". The record is from RNAcentral. Lineage: Eukaryota; Viridiplantae; Streptophyta; Magnoliopsida; Arecales; Arecaceae.
GGCCUCGUCUCCAACUCCGGCUACGGGAAGACUCCGUCAGGACUCUCACGGUAGCCGGACCUCAUCCCCGACUUCGGCUGAAGGAAGACUUCGUCCGGACUCCUACGGGAGCCAGACUCCGGGCUCCUCUCAGACGGAUAGCUAACCACCUCUCUCCACCAGACACUCCAGCCGAACUUCAGCCGACAGGCCUGCACUCCCUGGCACGCCGCAGCCACGUCCACGAUCCUGCUCCACUUCCUGCGACGGAUUUCACGCGGCACCAUCACUCCCUGACGGGCCGCAGUAAUGGCCAUGACUCUGCUCCACUUCCUGCGAUGGAUUUCGUGCGGCUCCAUUACUCCCUGGCAGACCGCAAUGAUGCCCAC